This is an RNA transcript of Gossypium arboreum, 2866 nucleotides long. It is a transcript of the gene named protein PSK SIMULATOR 1-like, with no coding region annotated. Lineage: Eukaryota; Viridiplantae; Streptophyta; Magnoliopsida; Malvales; Malvaceae. The record is from RefSeq and is a predicted model, not a curated record. The transcript has 3 exons.
AAGGGCAGUGUUGUCAUGCCUUAGGUUAGACUACCUUGGCCUUGUUGAUCUUUGUAAUUUUUGUGCAGGUUCCUUGACUUCCGUUUGACUUGGACGAAGCUCCUCAGAUGUAGGUUGAUGUAUGCCAAUCUUCAAUAGACUCUUGUCCUUGGAAGACAUUUUGGUAAAAAAAAUGGUAGCGGAGUCUUGGUUUCGUAGUUUUUGGAAAAUUCCGCGGAGGCAUGAAGGAGGUUCUGAGAGAGUUGAAAUUGGAGUAUUAGCAUUUGAAGUUGCAAGCUUGAUGUCUAAGCUUGUGCAUCUAUGGCGGCGUCUAAGUGAUAAGCAGGUUAGUAGGUUGAGAGAGGAGAUCAUGACUUGUGUGGGGAUUAAGAAGCUGGUAUCUGAAGAUGAAGGUUACAUUGGACACUUGAUAUGUGUAGAAAUGAUUGAAACUGUUACACAUGUGGCGAAGUCCGUGGCUAGGCUUGCAAAGAAAUGUAGUGAUCCAGGUUUGAAGAGUUUUGAACUUGCUUUCACUGAGUUAGUCCAGAUUGGGGCUGACCCUUAUUGUUGGAUAUUUUCCUUAAAGAAAAUGGACAAGAAAGUGAAGAAGAUGGAACGGUACAUUUCAGUGAAUGCAACUUUGUAUCAGGAGAUGGAAAUGCUCCUGGAUCUUGAGCAAACUCUAAGGAGGAUGAAAGCCAGUGAUGCAGAGCCAGAGAAUUUGCUUGAAUUUCAGAAGAAGGUUAUGUGGAAGCAGCAUGAAGUGAAGAAUCUUCGGGAGAUGUCUCUUUGGAGUAGGACUUAUGAUUAUACAAUUCGACUUACAACAAGAUCAAUAUUCACAGUUUUUGUUAGUAUCAAACAUGUCUUUGGAAUUGAACAAAAUGUAGAUGAUGGAGAUUUGAGGGCAGCUUCUAUAAAUCGCUGCCAAUCAGUUUCCACCUUGAUGCAAUCUUCUGUUCAUCGCACUGAUAAUACUAGCCUUACCAGGUUUUCUUCUGGCCCCUUUGGAAUGUUUAGCACAAAAUCAGGCCCGAUUUCAAAACCAAAUAAAACAAAUUAUUUCCAUUCUGGGCCUCUUGGUGACUCAACUACAAAAUCAGGUUCUCUUGCUCGAAAGAAUGGAAAUUUCAACUUCCAUUCAGGUCCACUUGAGAGGUCUACAGCGAAGUCAGGGCAACUUUUGGGCAUGGAUAAGAUCAGCAAGAAGAUUUGGCAGACUAACAACCACCCUUCCGCUGCUAAUGGAAAAAAACCACAUUUGAAAAGCAAUAGAUUGACUCAAGUGGGACCUUUCAAAGGCUGCAUUAUAGAUGCAGAUGAUGCUAUUCAUUCAGGAAUUCUUAGUGGAAUCAAAGCCGGAAAUCUUAAUCCUCCUGAAGGAAAUGCUGUUCAAACUAGUUCGCUGGUGUUUAGAUCUCAGUGCAGGUUGUUGGAUGCUCCGCCUGAAACUCUUGCGGGUUCUGCUUUAGCACUGCACUAUGCAAAUGUUAUCAUUGUCAUUGAGAAGUUAGCAGCAUCUCCUCACUUGAUUGGUAAUGAUGCUAGAGAUGAUCUGUACAACAUGUUACCUGCAAGUGUGAGAGCUGCACUGAGGGCAAGGCUAAAACCAUAUGCAAAGAGCUUAACUUCAUCAGUUUUUGAUACAGAGCUUGCUGAAGACUGGACUGAGGCAAUGGCUGCAAUAUUAGAGUGGUUGGCGCCACUAGCUCAUAACAUGAUUAGAUGGCAAUCUGAGCGGAGUUUUGAACAGCAGAACUUUGUUUCUGGGACUAAUGCGCUUCUGGUUCAGACUCUCUACUUUGCAAACCGAGAAAAGACUGAAGCAGCAAUCAUCGAGAUUCUUGUUGGUCUGAAUUAUGUUUGGAGACUUGGUAGAGAACUCAAUGCAAAGGCUCUACAGGAGUGUGCAAGCAGUAGAAACUUUGAUGAAUGUUUGUAUCUAUAGAAAUAAGUGGACCACUAUUGCAGUAUGUCAAUAGAUGAAUGGAAUCUGAUUGAAUGUUGGCAAGUUCCCAUUUUCGGCAGGCAAUGGGGUUAUCUCCAUUCUAUUUGCCAACGUCGAUAGAAGAUGAAAGAAUUAUCCAACAUACCGUGAAAGACAUCAUAAAGCAUUCUUUGUGAGUCAGAGAAGCAGAUGUAAAUCAGGUUGCAUGGCCAGAAUCUGAGCUUGAAAAUAACCUUCUGACAGACAGGCUAUCACCUUACGGAGUUGCCCGCAAUGAAAUCACAGAAAGGUUUGAAUUGUUUUCGUAAAUGAUCUCACAUGGUAUAUUUCACUGAAUAUAAUGUUUGGUGAAGAGUUCUUAGUGAAUGGACAGACGUCAAUUUUGUUAAAGUACCAUGUCUAACACUCAUAUCUGACACAUUGAUAUAAAGAUAAGAUCUCCAAAGAUCCCCUGAAUACAUGGAAAACUGAAAAAAAUCAGACCAUAUUCGUGUUGGACGCAUACACUCAAGUCUGAGUAAAUAUAGCUGAUGAACAUCUGGUUUACGAAUAGUGUGAUUUGUAUUGCUUUAAGAAGAGAUUAACUUAGAGAGGGUGGCAUUAUUAUAUUCUUUGAGGCUGGAAAGCUCCUGUUGAUGUUGUCAUCUAUUGCCAUUCGUUUUACCCCUUGCCCUUUAUCAUGUAUUGUUUUUCCUAGAUAUCAGUUGGUCAUUAGAGCUGAGGUUAUUUGUGCAUUUAAGAUGAAAAAACACGACAUUUUAAACAUUAUUAGCCAGGGUAAAUAGUAUUUUAUUUGUGUUUUGACAUCUUUAAUAAUUUGGAGCUUGUUUAUGUUCGAAAAAAUUGAAAAGAAUAAGCAUGACAGCUUGAAUUGCCUGCUUUUUCUUUUUAGUUCUUAAUAUAUGCAGUAAUUGGAGAAUAGAAUGUUAAAUGAAA